Molecule: long non-coding RNA, 5271 nt
Organism: Cynoglossus semilaevis (tongue sole)
Lineage: Eukaryota; Metazoa; Chordata; Actinopteri; Pleuronectiformes; Cynoglossidae
Exons: 10
Source: RefSeq, a predicted model, not a curated record
CAAUCAGCACCUGACUAAGGCCGGGUCGAACGUCAUGGUUUAGCAGGUAACGUAAAUACUGGACAAAGGAAGAAAACUCGACAAGUUAAAAAAAAAGAUUUUAAUUUGUUUAACACUAUAAAUCUGUCAUGAUAGAUCCCGGCCACGUUAGAUAUGUAGACAAAGUCCGUUAUCGUCAAGGAGCUGAGACGUGAAAAAUGAAUAUGAUUUGUUACCGUGGAAUGUUCUAGAAAAAGACUGGCCCACAUUCGCUCUCCGAGGAAUAUGAAGAAUGGGGCUGUGUAACGUUCACAGUGGCAGCACUGCAACCUAAUGGAUGCCAUGCCUUUAACACCUAAAGAAGAGGGAAGUUGGAAGAAGGAUGAGCUGAGAUGAGCCUACGUGUUUGCUGUUCUACCAAAAUAACAAGUGACAACGUCGGGCUGUGUGAUGUCCCUGAGGAUCAGAGGGAGGGAGGACAGGAGUGAAGACUGGAACAGCCUUCACAGCCCUGUGAAAGUGUGCGGUGCAGAACAACAGUGGCCGGAGUCAGAAGUCAACUAGUUCCUGGAAUAUGUUCCGUGUUCCUGGAUUUACAACAUGCGUCUAAUCCUUCCAGAAUCACGUGGGAGCUGCAGCCAAGUUCUCAGAAAAAGCUCAACACAAACUACCAACAUGAGAUAUCACCGGACCUUGAGCCAUCCUGCAUAGAAGAAGAACUGCAGCAGAGUGAAGAUGGGAACAUACAGGUCCAGGUCGUGACCUGGAUAACCUUGACCUGGGUCCAGGAACUGACGCCCGAUAAGACACACCAGGAAAAAACUGUACACCGCCAGAGUCACCACCUAAGACCAGAAGAAGAAGCAGCAGUUUGAGUGUGUGAUCGUCCCUGACCCGGCCCUCACACCGGGCCACAGCAGCCAGGUUAGUGAACCACACACAGGGAAUCCAGUAUUUGUUGAAGCGGGAAUGAAGUCCCUCAAACUUCUUGCGCUCCUCUUUGCUCAUGAAUCCUGUUGAGACGUAGAGUAAAGACUAACACUCAUGUAAAUGUACGUCCUCCACCCUCCCCACCGCCCUUUCAUUAGUCUGUUCAAACAUGUAAAGGAUAUGUAGAGAACCAGAAGCUCAUCGUCAUCAAUAUUAACAUAUAAACUGCCACUGAUGAGGAACACCUCCUUGCACAGGAGAAUCAAGUUCAUCUGCUCUGGUUGAACAGUUCCAGCAAACAUGCCCAUGUGGUCUGCCUAAGGUCUGCGAUCCAAAUGUUUUUUAUUAAAAGAAACGUCCUUGCCUUCUGUAGAUAAAUGUUUUGGCGUUUGGUUUUUUUUUUUUGGAAUAGGCUUCUGCUUCUUUACUUACUUUAAACAUGUAGAAGAAGUCUGAAAAAAAGGGGUAAAAAGUACUACAACAUUUGCACAGUACUUUGUGCUACACAGAAAAACAAGUCCAAAUUUUAUGCCUGCUUUCUAAAGACCAAUGGUUUUGAGGGGGAGUUUUUGUGGGAAACCAAACGGUUUUUGUACCAGAACUGCUUGUGAUUGCAAGUCGAGAUAAAACAGUGUAAAAAUACAUUCAACACUUUGUAGUCCGCCCACAUUUACUGUACGUGCAGUAUGUAGAGUAUCAUCUGUUCUAGUCAAGGAUGUGUCUGUCUCUCUGCUGUAGAGAAUGUACAGACACACAUUCACGUGAUGACACGUGUGACUCAUUCACAGUUUCUGUCGUUUCCUGACUCAACUGUGGGACAGAAAAAUACCUCCAAAUGUUUUUUGUUUUUGUCUGAUCCAGGUGUGAAAGGUCACACACUCAUCACCAGCACAUCUGCUCUUUAGUUUGUUGAUACAGGAAAUCAGAGUGGAUACAUGUGUGUUUAGUUACUUAAAAUCACCCCGGGUGUUUCCACACUCACCAGCCUCCACCACAUGGUCCAUGGUGGGGAAGCGUUUGAACACGGCCGUGCUGACUGAGCGGAGGAUGAGCAGAGCUGACAGGCUGGCGUAUCGCAUCAUGGUGCGUCUCAGCAGACGUCCACGUUCGUCACUGCCGUGAACGCCUCCAGAAAGGACACACAUGAGCCGGUCCGGGAGGGGAAUGUUGGUGUACUGGUUCCACCAGCGGUUCACCACCAGUGUCACGUAGAACCCUGGAACCAAGGCGAGAUAACACAGUUAGAGGAUGUUUGUAGAACUGGCUUCUCUGUGGUUUUUCUUCUGAGGACUAAACACACUAGUGCCCUGCAAAUAUUACAGUAUGACUGGGUUUUAGAAGACCAGCUUAUGCAUAAAUAUACACAACUGCUCUUGUCGACAAUAUAAACACCUCAGAAAUGACUUAAGGCUAGGCUACAGUGUAAACUGUCAAAAGUUAGCAGAAAAACUAAAACCUUGGCAUUUGAAUGUUAAAUGCUAAAAUGAUUCCUAACAUUUCACAAGGAUUGGCAUGAACACAAAAGGCCAAGGCUAUUGAUUUAUCAAUAUAAUCAACUGCAAAACAUUAUAAUCAACUGCAAAACAUCUAUAAGUUGCAGUAGCUACAGUGUACAGACAAUAUUUGACUAAUUUCCUUGGAAUGCUAUGGUUUUCAAAUAACAAAUCCAAAGUUUGUUCUACAGUGAUAAGAGAAAUUAGAGAAGUCAUUCUUUCUAAUCACCUCCAGCAGCAGAAGAACAACUGUAGAUAUGUGUGUGUGUGUUUGUGUAUCUCCAGUGUUUGUGUCCACGACAACUUUGUGAUCUUACACAGUGUCACGCACACUUUCUGCUGCUGACUCAUCACAUCCAACCACAAACCUCAUCAUGGACUGAUAAGUCUGAUAUCACACUGCAGAGCAGAACAUCUCCAAACCUCACCCAGAACAAAGGACAUGGGGAUCAGACUGGCGUAGUGGUUGCAGUAAAUGGCCAGUUUUUCAAAGUAUCUCUUCUGGUCGUCAUGGAGGAGGAAUCUGAAAGAGUGGAACGACACAGAUUUUUUUUCCAUUGGUACUGUAUUCUUCAUCACGUCCUGAAGCCCCUCUUGAGUCUCUGCUCACCUGUAGGUGGUGCUGAUGGCAGCGUACAUGGCGAAGAAGGCCAGGAACUCCUUGUACAGAACCUUGUAGAUGCUACCUUUCCAGACCAGCAGCAGUUUGGAGAAACCACAGAAUCGGGCGUUUGCCACUCUAGCUGUGUAGGUGACCGUCAUUGGUUACAGUCUGUGGACUCAGAUGCUGAGGAGAAAGGAGGUGCACUGGAAAAUAACCAGCACACCUGUGGGUGGAAGACCUGAUGUGAGUUCAUGAAUGUGGAAGUGAAAAGAAUCAGAUGGAGUUUGCAACUUUGACUUUACAAUUGUCCCAAAUAGUUGGCUCACAUAUUUUUUUUAAUAAAUAAGAAACAAAAACCGAUCAGAUUUAAAUAAAACAAAGACUAAUUAACAUAAUCAAUGAUUAGACUUGAAUCUAAUAUCGGUUUAACAGCACCUACACAUACCUUGGUCUAACUGAUUUUUGAGGUCCCACUGGUCCAGACAAAUGUGUGAGAUGUUUACAUGACUCCAAACUGACUGUCAGUGUAGUUUAUUUCAAAGGAGGUUCAAACCUUACCUGAGGUGUGGUUUGAUUGGACCUGAUGGAUGUGACCGCUGAUCAGCGUGUCUUCCUACCGCUGCGGAUUGCUGGAUUGGUUCUGUGGUGUUGAGUCCGUCCGUCCACGGGUCCGUGCGCCCCGGUGCUAAAUCCCCCAAAUUGAUGAGGGACAAAGGGUGAGAAGGAGCUCGUUAGCGAGGCCCCCGACCGUGUGAGCUCGGCUCGGUGAUUCGGUGAUGGACUGCAAGCGACAGGCCACAGCGGCGGAGCAACAGGAGCGCAGGGCGCAGUGAGCAAUUAUGGCACAGCAGCAAGUGAAGCGUGGACUGACGCUCUUUUAAGUGAUAUGGAAGCAGCGGAGUCUGAUCUGACGAUUAGUGGUCUUUAAAUCGCUGUUGUUUUGGUUUAAACAACAGAUUAUCUUAUAGUACAGUUAUCAAAGCAGUGGUUUAAAUGUGUUCUACAGUUGGCCACAAGAUGUCCCAGGAAGGUGGGCUUAAUGAAAACACUAUUCACAGAUUUGAAUUAGUAUAUAUACAAUUAUGAAAAGGCACAACUAGUAAAACUUAAAUAAAACAAAUAGUAUAGUAAUAAACUAAAAAUAAACAAGGAUUAGCUAAAAGUGGCUUCUAAUGGAAAUUACUAAUGUUAUCCUCCUCUGAGCCUGAACUCAUUUGUUAAUCGGACAACAGCUGCAUCAUACUUUAGAACUUACAAGUCACUCCUGAUCUCCUGGCACCGUUUUAUAUCAACAGGGUCAGUGCACCUCAAUAUAUCAUCAUCACAUUAGUGCAAAGUCUGUACCUUAAUCCAUUUCAAACAAUGAUUCUCACUGUCUUCAUAAAUCCAUCCUGCUCCACACUAACGUGCUUACUCGCCCAACAUGACUUCCACAUACUGUACCACAACCCCAUUAGGGCAUCUUUUAUUUAUUUAAGUUAUUUUUACUGAAACUGCUGCAGUUAUGUCAAUAACUGUACUUAGGCUCUAUCUAGUGGGAUGCUGGGUGAUCUGACUCGUGUGUGUGGCUGUGUACUAUGCAUAUUACAAUUAAAUUGAAGGACCAUUGCAGUACUGUUCCAUUGUACAGCUUGGCUUUGGUUGAUAAAAUAUUCAAAUGAUCUUAUUACUUUAAAAAAGAAGUGAAAGACAAUCAUUUAAAACCAAUGGCUCUUUGCACUAUAUUGCUGAAUUUUAAUCUAUUACUCUUUUACUUUUCUCAGGUGCUGUUCAUUUCUCCAAAGUUGAUGGAAACAUCAGAGGAAUAAUACCAUCGUCAUACUCCAGGUGACGGUACCUGGUCUAAAUAUUUGGACUGUAUCUUAUGACGGGCUUCACACAUCUUGCACGGCCUCUCCCCGUCAGGGAAAACCAGUUGGUUGACGAUGAUGUUGUGCGUGUCGAUGCUGCACUUGGCCAGCUCCUGGAUCAGCCGCUCCGUCUCAUACAAGGACAGGAACUCAGCGAUGCAAACACAAAUGAAGGUGGUCUGUUCCUGCAGGUCAGAGGAUGCAGGGAGGCGUGUCAGUAAAUCAGCAUGCAUUAUGGGAGGUUUCAAGCUGGUAUGACACCUUAGUUAAAAAAGUGUAGCACAACUGUGUGACUCACUGGGUCUUUGAACUGCUCACUGACUGAGCGAAUGACAGGCAGAGUUUCUUCAAGUUUGGAGGCGAGCUGGUCUGCGUUCAUAUCACCCAGACCCAGCAUGUUACACAUCUGUAAUGA